AGCAGCCGCGGUAAUUCCAGCUCCAAUAGCGUAUAUUAAAGUUGUUGCAGUUAAAAAGCUCGUAGUUGAAUUUCGGGAUCAAGUCGUUGGUCGUGCCUCGGUACGUACUGGUGACAUUGGUUUCUCCCUUCUGAAGAACCUUGAUGUCAUUAAUUUGGUGUCUUGGGGAAUCAGGACUGUUACUUUGAAAAAAUUAGAGUGUUUAAAGCAGGCUCACGCUUGAAUACACUAGCAUGGAAUAAUGAAAUAGGACGUUUGAUUCUAUUUUGUUGGUUUCUAGGAUCGACGUAAUGAUUAAUAGGGAUAGUUGGGGGCAUUAGUAUUCAAUUGUCAGAGGUGAAAUUCUUGGAUUUAUUGAAGACUAACUACUGCGAAAGCAUUUGCCAAGGAUGUUUUCAUUAAUCAAGAACGAAAGUUAGGGGAUCGAAGACGAUCAGAUACCGUCGUAGU
RNAcentral lists this ribosomal RNA (450 nucleotides) under uncultured Glomeromycotina. RNAcentral describes it as "SSU rRNA". It matches the Rfam family "Eukaryotic small subunit ribosomal RNA", at positions 569 to 1024 of the family's 1831-position model. Lineage: Eukaryota; Fungi; Glomeromycota. The record is from RNAcentral.